This 253-nucleotide ribosomal RNA is filed under the name uncultured bacterium. RNAcentral's name for it is "partial 16S ribosomal RNA". It matches the Rfam family "Bacterial small subunit ribosomal RNA", at positions 524 to 776 of the family's 1533-position model. The record is from RNAcentral.
UACGAAGGGGGCAAGCGUUGUUCGGAAUUACUGGGCGUAAAGGGCGCGUAGGCGGAUGUAUUAGUCAGGUGUGAAAGCCCUGGGCUUAACCUAGGAAUAGCACUUGAUACUGUACGUCUAGAGUAUGAGAGAGGAUAGUGGAAUUACGAGUGUAGAGGUGAAAUUCGUAGAUAUUCGUAAGAACACCGGUGGCGAAGGCGGCUAUCUGGCUCAUAACUGACGCUGAGGCGCGAAAGCGUGGGGAGCAAACAGG